This 646-nucleotide ribosomal RNA is filed under the name Salmonella enterica. RNAcentral describes it as "partial 23S ribosomal RNA". It matches the Rfam family "Bacterial large subunit ribosomal RNA", at positions 2261 to 2901 of the family's 2925-position model. Lineage: Bacteria; Pseudomonadati; Pseudomonadota; Gammaproteobacteria; Enterobacterales; Enterobacteriaceae. The record is from RNAcentral. RNAcentral also lists the same sequence under 1 other name.
GUGGGUAGUUUGACUGGGGCGGUCUCCUCCUAAAGAGUAACGGAGGAGCACGAAGGUUGGCUAAUCCUGGUCGGACAUCAGGAGGUUAGUGCAAUGGCAUAAGCCAGCUUGACUGCGAGCGUGACGGCGCGAGCAGGUGCGAAAGCAGGUCAUAGUGAUCCGGUGGUUCUGAAUGGAAGGGCCAUCGCUCAACGGAUAAAAGGUACUCCGGGGAUAACAGGCUGAUACCGCCCAAGAGUUCAUAUCGACGGCGGUGUUUGGCACCUCGAUGUCGGCUCAUCACAUCCUGGGGCUGAAGUAGGUCCCAAGGGUAUGGCUGUUCGCCAUUUAAAGUGGUACGCGAGCUGGGUUUAGAACGUCGUGAGACAGUUCGGUCCCUAUCUGCCGUGGGCGCUGGAGAACUGAGGGGGGCUGCUCCUAGUACGAGAGGACCGGAGUGGACGCAUCACUGGUGUUCGGGUUGUCAUGCCAAUGGCACUGCCCGGUAGCUAAAUGCGGAAGAGAUAAGUGCUGAAAGCAUCUAAGCACGAAACUUGCCCCGAGAUGAGUUCUCCCUGAGACUUUAGGUCUCCUGAAGGAACGUUGAAGACGACGACGUUGAUAGGCCGGGUGUGUAAGCGCAGCGAUGCGUUGAGCUAACCGGUAC